GUGUGACUGCGUACCUUUUGUAUAAUGGGUCAGCGACUUAUAUUCUGUAGCAAGGUUAACCGAAUAGGGGAGCCGAAGGGAAACCGAGUCUUAACUGGGCGUUAAGUUGCAGGGUAUAGACCCGAAACCCGGUGAUCUAGCCAUGGGCAGGUUGAAGGUUGGGUAACACUAACUGGAGGACCGAACCGACUAAUGUUGAAAAAUUAGCGGAUGACUUGUGGCUGGGGGUGAAAGGCCAAUCAAACCGGGAGAUAGCUGGUUCUCCCCGAAAGCUAUUUAGGUAGCGCCUCGUGAAUUCAUCUCCGGGGGUAGAGCACUGUUUCGGCAAGGGGGUCAUCCCGACUUACCAACCCGAUGCAAACUGCGAAUACCGGAGAAUGUUAUCACGGGAGACACACGGCGGGUGCUAACGUCCGUCGUGAAGAGGGAAACAACCCAGACCGCCAGCUAAGGUCCCAAAGUCAUGGUUAAGUGGGAAACGAUGUGGGAAGGCCCAGACAGCCAGGAUGUUGGCUUAGAAGCAGCCAUCAUUUAAAGAAAGCGUAAUAGCUCACUGGUCGAGUCGGCCUGCGCGGAAGAUGUAACGGGGCUAAACCAUGCACCGAAGCUGCGGCAGCGACGCUGAUGCGUUGUUGGGUAGGGGAGCGUUCUGUAAGCCUGUGAAGGUGUGCUGUGAGGCAUGCUGGAGGUAUCAGAAGUGCGAAUGCUGACAUAAGUAACGAUAAAGCGGGUGAAAAGCCCGCUCGCCGGAAGACCAAGGGUUCCUGUCCAACGUUAAUCGGGGCAGGGUGAGUCGACCCCUAAGGCGAGGCCGAAAGGCGUAGUCGAUGGGAAACAGGUUAAUAUUCCUGUACUUGGUGUUACUGCGAAGGGGGGACGGAGAAGGCUAUGUUGGCCGGGCGACGGUUGUCCCGGUUUAAGCGUGUAGGCUGGUUUUCCAGGCAAAUCCGGAAAAUCAAGGCUGAGGCGUGAUGACGAGGCACUACGGUGCUGAAGCAACAAAUGCCCUGCUUCCAGGAAAAGCCUCUAAGCAUCAGGUAACAUCAAAUCGUACCCCAAACCGACACAGGUGGUCAGGUAGAGAAUACCAAGGCGCUUGAGAGAACUCGGGUGAAGGAACUAGGCAAAAUGGUGCCGUAACUUCGGGAGAAGGCACGCUGAUAUGUAGGUGAAGUCCCUCGCGGAUGGAGCUGAAAUCAGUCGAAGAUACCAGCUGGCUGCAACUGUUUAUUAAAAACACAGCACUGUGCAAACACGAAAGUGGACGUAUACGGUGUGACGCCUGCCCGGUGCCGGAAGGUUAAUUGAUGGGGUUAGCGCAAGCGAAGCUCUUGAUCGAAGCCCCGGUAAACGGCGGCCGUAACUAUAACGGUCCUAAGGUAGCGAAAUUCCUUGUCGGGUAAGUUCCGACCUGCACGAAUGGCGUAAUGAUGGCCAGGCUGUCUCCACCCGAGACUCAGUGAAAUUGAACUCGCUGUGAAGAUGCAGUGUACCCGCGGCAAGACGGAAAGACCCCGUGAACCUUUACUAUAGCUUGACACUGAACAUUGAGCCUUGAUGUGUAGGAUAGGUGGGAGGCUUUGAAGUGUGGACGCCAGUCUGCAUGGAGCCGACCUUGAAAUACCACCCUUUAAUGUUUGAUGUUCUAACGUUGACCCGUAAUCCGGGUUGCGGACAGUGUCUGGUGGGUAGUUUGACUGGGGCGGUCUCCUCCUAAAGAGUAACGGAGGAGCACGAAGGUUGGCUAAUCCUGGUCGGACAUCAGGAGGUUAGUGCAAUGGCAUAAGCCAGCUUGACUGCGAGCGUGACGGCGCGAGCAGGUGCGAAAGCAGGUCAUAGUGAUCCGGUGGUUCUGAAUGGAAGGGCCAUCGCUCAACGGAUAAAAGGUACUCCGGGGAUAACAGGCUGAUACCGCCCAAGAGUUCAUAUCGACGGCGGUGUUUGGCACCUCGAUGUCGGCUCAUCACAUCCUGGGGCUGAAGUAGGUCCCAAGGGUAUGGCUGUUCGCCAUUUAAAGUGGUACGCGAGCUGGGUUUAGAACGUCGUGAGACAGUUCGGUCCCUAUCUGCCGUGGGCGCUGGAGAACUGAGGGGGGCUGCUCCUAGUACGAGAGGACCGGAGUGGACGCAUCACUGGUGUUCGGGUUGUCAUGCCAAUGGCACUGCCCGGUAGCUAAAUGCGGAAGAGAUAAGUGCUGAAAGCAUCUAAGCACGAAACUUGCCCCGAGAUGAGUUCUCCCUGAC
This 2243-nucleotide ribosomal RNA is filed under the name Escherichia coli. RNAcentral's name for it is "bacterial LSU rRNA". It matches the Rfam family "Bacterial large subunit ribosomal RNA", at positions 591 to 2819 of the family's 2925-position model. Lineage: Bacteria; Pseudomonadati; Pseudomonadota; Gammaproteobacteria; Enterobacterales; Enterobacteriaceae. The record is from RNAcentral.